RNAcentral lists this ribosomal RNA (468 nucleotides) under uncultured bacterium. RNAcentral describes it as "partial 16S ribosomal RNA". It matches the Rfam family "Bacterial small subunit ribosomal RNA", at positions 28 to 507 of the family's 1533-position model. The record is from RNAcentral.
GACGAACGCUGGCGGCGUGCUUAACACAUGCAAGUCGAACGGAAAGGCCAUGCUUUUGUGGGGUGCUCGAGUGGCGAACGGGUGAGUAACACGUGAGUAACCUGCCCUCGACUUUGGGAUAACUUCAGGACACUGGGGCUAAUACCGGAUUGGCGCUCCUGCUGCAUGGUGGGGGUUGGAAAGUUUCGGCGGUUGGGGAUGGACUCGCGGCUUAUCAGCUUGUUGGUGGAGUAGUGGCUUACCAAGGCUUUGACGGGUAGCCGGCCUGAGAGGGUGACCGGCCACAUUGGGACUGAGAUACGGCCCAGACUCGUACGGGAGGCAGCAGUGGGGAAGAGUGCACGAUGGGCGGAAGCCUGGUGCAGCAACGCCGCGUGCGGGAUUACGGCCUUCGUGUUGUAAGCCGCUUUCUCCUGUGACGAAGCGUGAUUGACGGUAAUGGAUAAAGAAGCACCGGCUAACUACGUG